CGGAGUUUGCCUCAUUCACUUCCAUUGGUGUCUGCCUAACUUUGUCAGCGAUGCUGAAAGUGACGUGACAAGACAUUGUCUUCAAUUAAGUGGUCCUUGACCAAGGAUGCAGAGGACAAGACGGGUGUGUAGUAUUGACUGAAAUUAUCAGAGAAGGUCAUUUUUUAUGGUUUAGGUCCAAACGAAGGGACCCUUCCAACCUCAGCAUCUCCAACACCUCCUGUCACACCUCCAGCCAAAUGUGCUACAUCUUCCUCAGUUAACCUUCUUGUAGGUGUGCAUGUCCAGCAUCCUUUGCACAUUAAUGUCUUGAGUUGUUCACACACGGUACGGUUGUUCAGAUUUGGGAAUCUGAAAUGUUUUUCAGAAUGUCUUUGAAAAUAUAAAUGGGUGUUAGCCCUCCUUUUUAUAUUGCAGUCUCACCAUAUCUCCCUUAUGCCUUUUCUGUGUGUAUUCCUGUUCUUGAUGUUGU
Molecule: long non-coding RNA, 472 nt
Organism: Sardina pilchardus (European sardine)
Lineage: Eukaryota; Metazoa; Chordata; Actinopteri; Clupeiformes; Clupeidae
Exons: 3
Source: RefSeq, a predicted model, not a curated record